RNAcentral lists this transfer RNA (73 nucleotides) under Chodsigoa smithii (Smith's shrew). Its description in RNAcentral is "tRNA-Asn". Lineage: Eukaryota; Metazoa; Chordata; Mammalia; Eulipotyphla; Soricidae. The record is from RNAcentral.
GUAGAUUGAAGCCAGUUGUCUAGGGUAUUUAGCUGUUAACUAAAAUUUCGUGGGAUGAAAGCCCACCAAUCUA